RNAcentral lists this long non-coding RNA (1436 nucleotides) under Nicotiana benthamiana. RNAcentral describes it as "long non-coding RNA (NBEN_LNC014827)". Lineage: Eukaryota; Viridiplantae; Streptophyta; Magnoliopsida; Solanales; Solanaceae. The record is from RNAcentral.
CACCCCACUGCCUCCCGUCGUCGUCCCCUUCCCCAAUGACCAUCUACUCCUCCGUCUCCAGCAACGACCACCAGCGUCGCCGCUCCUCACCACCCACACACACGCACAGUUUUAUCUCCGUUUAGCCGGAAAACACUGACACAGCCACACGCACACACAAAACAGAGAUCGGAGGAAAUCAGAGAAAUGAUUUUUUGGGUUCGAUUGCUGCAUAGUGAGGUAGUUGUUUGAAUUUGGUUUGGAGUUCCGGCCUCUGUCCAGGUCCGUUUGUGGUUCAGAUCGUGUAUGUUGUUCAAAAAGGAGGCUAGGCAAUCUAAAGCUGAAAAACAUUAAGAGAGAUUCUGAAAAUUCAGAAUAAGGAAGUGAGUUUAUAGUUUAAGAUUUUAAGGGUAUCGAACCAAAGAGAGCUCAAGAGAUAAAACUUCAAAAAAUACCCAACGACUGCAUUUUUUUUGUUUUAUUGAAUUCCUUCUCUGAUUUUUUUUAAGUUCAAAGUUUUCAAAGAAUUUCUGGUUCAUCCUGGGUCUAAAAUGGUCUAGAAGAACUGAGUACUGAUGUUGUUGACAUGCUAAGCUGCUGUUACUGCUGAAAUCCUCACCUUUAUGUUUCAUCUUUACUUCCAGGUACACGACUAUGUAACUCUUGGUUUCUGGAAUUAAUUUGAAGGAAAGAAAUGAAAUGAAGACUUGAAGCUUUGAAACUACUUCUAUCUUACUGAUUUUAUAGUAGUAUGUUGAUUUAUUAUCUAAUCUAUAUUAUUACUACGUCUAGAUUAGCUUUAAUUAAGUAAGGUAUAGCUAUCAAGGGAAUUAAUAUGCAUAUUUUGGAGUCUUAGUCACUAUGUCAAGGAGCUGCAGCAAUGUGCUUAUUUUAAUACCUGCGUUUUAGUUUCAGUUGCGAUUGAAACUUGAAGUAAGCAUUCUUGUUCGUAUGUGAUUUUGUAAUGAGUAGCUAAAACCUUAGUUGGAAUUACAGUUGUUUAGUUAGGUAGUGUUGUUGUUGUUAUUAGAGGUGUGAUGCAGUAUGUUCGUGUCGCGAAAUAUCAGUUCAUAUUCUUGUUUCAAUGUUAUGAAGUUCAUUUAUAUGGAAAGAAGUGAGUUGUGUGCGCAAUUAAGAACGCCAAUACUGCCAUUCAUUUGCUUCAAGAUGUUAACAUUUGUGCUCUACUUCAAAGCAUAUUUCAGAAAGUUUAUCGAGAAGAUAAGAUAAUAUGACUUGAGUGGCAUUUAAAGAAGUCCAAAAGAGGAUAAUCUUUACUGUUCAUCAUUUUGCUUGAAUGUUAUAAUAGUAGUAGGUUAAAUAUCAUACUCUUUUUUGUAUAGUUUUGAAAAAAAAGGAUUCAAUCAAAUAAUGGACUUUAUUGUUUGAAAAUCUCCUAUUAUAUGAUUUUUUUUUUGGGGAAAAAAUGAUGUAUGAUUUCGUUUGAGAUAAUGGUG